GACAGAGGGUGCAAACGUUGCUCGGAUUUACUGGGCGUAAAGCGCGUGUAGGCGGGCGACUAAGUCGGAUGUGAAAUCCCUGGGCUCAACCUAGGAACUGCAUUCGAAACUGGUCACCUAGAGUGAUGGAGAGGAAGGCGGAAUUCCCGGCGUAGAGGUGAAAUUCGUAGAUAUCGGGAGGAACACCAGUGGCGAAGGCGGCUUUCUGGACAUUUACUGACGCUGAGACGCGAAAGCGUGGGGAGCAAACAGG
RNAcentral lists this ribosomal RNA (253 nucleotides) under uncultured bacterium. RNAcentral's name for it is "partial 16S ribosomal RNA". It matches the Rfam family "Bacterial small subunit ribosomal RNA", at positions 524 to 776 of the family's 1533-position model. The record is from RNAcentral.